CCUCAGGACGGAAAGACCUCAGGUCGGAAGGUCUUCAGGUCGGGAGGUCCUCAAGACGGAAAGUCCUCAGGACGGAAAGACCUCAGGUCGGAAGGUCUUCAGGUCGGGAGGUCCUCAAGACGGAAAGUCCUCAGGACGGAAAGACCUCAGGUCGGAAGGUCUUCAGGUCGGGAGGUCCUCAAGACGGAAAGUCAUCAGGACGGGAAGUCCGCAGGUCGGGAGGCCCUCAGGACGGGAAGUCCGCAGGUCGGGAGGCCCUCAGGACGGGAAGUCCGCAGGUCGGGAGGCCCUCAGGUCGGGAAGUUCUCAGGUCGGAACUCUGCGGCAGGGCCAACAAAUCGGAUGGUUUGUUAGUCGGGAUGUCUGUAGCUAAUCCAAACAAGUCAGAUGGUUUGCAAGUCGGGAGGAUUGGCAGUCGGACCAAUACGGUUGUAGAUUGGCAGUCGGGCCUAAAGGGCGGAAGGUAUGUGGUCGGCUCAAAGAGUGAAAUAUAGGGAUAAUUUUGGUCUGCUGAGGACACGUGUCAGCAGGAGAAGGGUUGGAAGACGGUUGGGAAGGAGACGUUGUAACCGUUCGGGUGACGGUUUUCAGUACGGUUUCCCAGAGAAUAUUUAAGGGUUUGGAUAAUCA
Andrographis paniculata is the source of this 630-nucleotide long non-coding RNA. RefSeq lists it as uncharacterized. Lineage: Eukaryota; Viridiplantae; Streptophyta; Magnoliopsida; Lamiales; Acanthaceae. The record is from RefSeq and is a predicted model, not a curated record. The transcript is spliced from 3 exons.